This 62-nucleotide microRNA precursor is filed under the name Limulus polyphemus (Atlantic horseshoe crab). RNAcentral's name for it is "Lpo-Mir-2-P3k_pre stem-loop". Lineage: Eukaryota; Metazoa; Arthropoda; Merostomata; Xiphosura; Limulidae. The record is from RNAcentral.
CUCACAAAGUGGCUGUUAUAUGCUGCUAAUAGGGUUCAUAUCACAGCCAGCUUUGAUGAGCG